GACGAACGCUGGCGGCGUGCUUAACACAUGCAAGUCGAGCGGUAAGGCCCUUUCGGGGGUACACGAGCGGCGAACGGGUGAGUAACACGUGGGUGACCUGCCCUCAGCUCUGGGAUAAGCCUGGGAAACCGGUCUAAUACUGGAUAUGACUCCAUGACGCAUGUUGUGGGGUGGAAAGCCUUGUGCGGCUGAGGAUGGGCCCGCGGCCUAUCAGCUUGUUGGUGGGGUGANGGCCUACCAAGGCGACGACGGGUAGCCGGCCUGAGAGGGCGACCGGCCACACUGGGACUGAGACACGGCCCAGACUCCUACGGGAGGCAGCAGUGGGGAAUCUUGCGCAAUGGGCGAAAGCCUGACGCAGCGACGCCGCGUGAGGGAUGACGCCU
This 386-nucleotide ribosomal RNA is filed under the name uncultured bacterium. RNAcentral describes it as "bacterial SSU rRNA". It matches the Rfam family "Bacterial small subunit ribosomal RNA", at positions 28 to 416 of the family's 1533-position model. The record is from RNAcentral.